Molecule: long non-coding RNA, 1574 nt
Organism: Camelina sativa (false flax)
Lineage: Eukaryota; Viridiplantae; Streptophyta; Magnoliopsida; Brassicales; Brassicaceae
Source: RefSeq, a predicted model, not a curated record
UCUUAGUUAAAAAGUUCUAGUUCAUUUUUGGAGAUAGCGGAAAUCUCAGAGCAGCUCAAGGAAGUUUCUGAAGAAGUUAGCAAGUUUGUAGGUAUGUCCUUUAAGAUGGAUGUCAAGAAUGUCUUUCUCCAAGUAGAAUUAGAAGAUGAAGUUUAUAUGAGCCUUCCACCAGGUCUUCAAGACACCAUUUGACUUGGAAAAGUUUUAAAACUCAAGAAAGCUAUUUGUGGGUUCCACCAGGUGUCGUCCGUGCUUUCUGAGGCGCUGCCUUUGACUCAGCAUGAGAGAAGGGGGCGGAAAUGCAGUCUCCGAGAGAGUGGUACUACAAGUGUAGCUCAACGCUGAUGGAGAAAGGUUUUAGAAGGUCAGAAGCUGAUCACACCCUCCUCACUUAUCCAAGCCAAAGAGAUAUUAUAGUCAUCUUUAUAUACGUUGAUGAUAUUAUCAUCUCCGGGGAUGACAAGGUAGAAAUUCAAGAUACCAAUCUUACCUAGUCAAUUUUGAUAUUAAAGAUCUUGGAAAACUCUUUUGAUCAUAAAGAAAGGUAGAAGUUUGUCGUUCUAAGGAAGGGCUCUUUUGAUCAUAAAGAAAGUAUGCACUUAAUCUUUUAAAUGAAGUAGGUAAGCUUGGAUCAAAGCUGGUGGUAACACCACUUGAAGAAGAUCAGACGGCUAGUCGAAAGGGGGAGCUUGAUGAUGCUCCAUUUGAAGAUGUAACUUAGUAUCGCUGGUUGGUAGUAAAGUUUAUUUAUCUCACUAUUACACGACCUAACAUUUGUUUUGCUGUGAAUAAGGUGAGCCAACACAUGCAAAAGCCAAAGAGGCAUAUUGGGACAUGGUGAGCCGAAUACUCAAAUAUCUUAAAGGAGCUUCAGGACAAGAUAUUUGGAUGGUAUGCAAUGGGAAUACAUAGCUUGUGGGCUACUAUGAUGCUGACUAUACUUGAUAUCUUGAAGACUGACGUUCAACCACCAGAUAUUGCACUUUCAAUGGAGGCAACCUUGUUACGUGGAAGAGCAAGAGGAAAAAGUUGGUUUCUCUCUAGCGCCGAGUCCGAGUAUAGAGCAAUGAGGAAGCUCACAACCAAGCUGAUGUGGCUAAAAGCCCUUCUAAAAGAUCUUGGCAUUAACACACCAAAGCUGAUCACAAUGCAUUGUGACAACCAAGACGCCAUCCACAUAGCAUUAUGAUAGGACCAAACACAUUGAAGUGGACUGCCAAAAACUAAGAGACCAAGUCCAACUUGGAGUCAUUCUAUCAUGCUACACCGAGAGCUCCGAGCAAUUGGUCGACGUCUUCACCAAAGCAUCCAGUCCCAAAGCUUGUGAGUACAUUCACUCCAAAACUUGGUCUCACAGAUCUUACUAAACCAUGAGUUAAUUCCUCUGGCUAUGGACUCCAUACUCUUUUUUCUUUGGUAUAGUUUUUUCCCAUAAGGUUUUCUAUACUAAGGUUUUCUAUACUCACUACAAGAAAACAUGCUAUUUACAACUACGUUUGGCGACUAAAUACGUAGUCGCUUAAUUUCCCGAUUACUUGUCGACUCAGUAGCAACCAAGUUACAACUGCGUAAAU